This 225-nucleotide ribosomal RNA is filed under the name uncultured Atopostipes sp. RNAcentral describes it as "partial 16S ribosomal RNA". It matches the Rfam family "Bacterial small subunit ribosomal RNA", at positions 568 to 792 of the family's 1533-position model. The record is from RNAcentral. Lineage: Bacteria; Bacillati; Bacillota; Bacilli; Lactobacillales; Carnobacteriaceae.
AGCGCAGGCGGUUGAAAUAGUCUGAUGUGAAAGCCCACGGCUUAACCGUGGAAUGUCAUUGGAAACUGUUCAACUUGAAUGCAGAAGAGGUAAGUGGAAUUCCAUGUGUAGCGGUGAAAUGCGUAGAUAUAUGGAGGAACACCAGUGGCGAAGGCGACUUACUGGUCUGUGAUUGACGCUGAGGCUCGAAAGCGUGGGUAGCAAACAGGAUUAGAUACCCCAGUA